CAUAUACAGAAAAUGACAUAUCCUUCCACUCUCUUAGAAUCAUUUUUAUUUUUUUAACCUUAUCCAUCCACCACAUACCACAAACUCUGCACCAAGCUUUACAUGCAUAUUAAUAAUGUUCUGAUUAUUAUAUUCUCUCUACGUGUACAUGAGAAUAAGUGAGUUAAUAUUAAAAUAGUGAAUAAGUAAAAGUGAACGGGCAAACAAUCACAUAUAGAUGUUCUGAAUAGUAACAGCAGUUUGUAGCAGAUAGAUAAGUGAAAGGUGGCCAUUACAAAUAUCUUGUGUUUCGGAAAUGGCAACUUCUUUAGCUUCUCAACUUUCUGGUCCAAAAUCCGCCAUUUCCUUUUCCUCUCCACCACACUUUUCUGGUCUCCGUCCAUCUUCUAAUUUCAAGCUUGACAAUACUCACUCUUUUUUCCAAAAUGUUGACUCUCACAAAGGUUGCAGACCCGUCGUCUCCAUGGCUGGCUCCGGAAAGUUCUUUGUUGGUGGCAACUGGAAAUGUAAUGGAACAAAGGACUCCAUAAGCAAGCUUGUAUCUGAUCUGAACAGUGCGAAACUCGAGUCAGAUGUUGAUGUGGUUGUUGCACCUCCCUUUCUGUACAUUGAUCAAGUGAAGAGUUCACUAACUGAUAGGAUUGAGAUUUCUGGUCAGAAUUGCUGGACUGGCAAAGGUGGAGCUUUCACGGGUGAAAUCAGCGUGGAACAGUUGAAAGAUAUUGGCUGCAAGUGGGUCAUUCUUGGUCAUUCUGAGCGGAGACAUGUAAUUGGAGAAAAUGAUGAAUUUAUUGGGAAGAAGGCCGCUUAUGCCUUAAGCCAGAAUGUUGGAGUGAUAGCCUGUAUUGGAGAGCUAUUGGAAGAAAGAGAAGCUGGAAAAACUUUUGAUGUAUGUUUCAACCAGUUGAAGGCUUUUGCCGAUGCUUUACCAAGUUGGGAUGAUGUGGUCAUCGCAUAUGAGCCUGUAUGGGCUAUUGGAACUGGUAAAGUGGCGUCACCUGAGCAGGCUCAGGAGGUCCAUGCAGCUGUUCGUGAUUGGCUAAGUAAGAAUGUUUCUGCAGAAGUUGCUUCUAAAACACGCAUCAUAUAUGGAGGCUCUGUGAACGGAGGCAACUCUUCUGACCUGGCAAAGAAAGAAGAUAUUGAUGGCUUUCUAGUUGGGGGUGCUUCUUUAAAGGGUCCUGAGUUUGCCACCAUUAUUAAUUCUGUAACAUCCAAGAAGGUAGCUGCUUGAUCAUUUGUCACGGGUUGUAGUCGUGGAAAUAAAUGCGUAGAGAAAUAGCAGUGCUGGAAGCAUCAGAUGGCUAAUUUAUGAAGGAGUUUUAUCUAGUGGAAUUUUGGUUCUCCCCCGUCAGUGAGUAACACAUACUCAUUGGGUGAAUAACAGGAGGAAGGAAAGCGCUGUCUUGUGGAGCUCCAAAGCGGAAUAUUUGAUUUGUCCAUAACUUUAUGAGCAGGAGGAUCAUCAAUAACAAUAUCAUUGUUAUUAUCAACAUCAACAUGAUGAUUCGAUGCAUGAUUAUGGGCGUCACCAUGAUCAUCAAACCCAAUUAAACCGUGUAUACUUAUGUGAGGAACUUCAUCAUGAUGAAAUAUACCAUCAAAACUUGAGAUUCUA
Solanum pennellii is the source of this 1618-nucleotide RNA transcript. It is a transcript of the gene named triosephosphate isomerase, chloroplastic-like, with no coding region annotated. The record is from RefSeq and is a predicted model, not a curated record. The transcript has 10 exons. Lineage: Eukaryota; Viridiplantae; Streptophyta; Magnoliopsida; Solanales; Solanaceae.